RNAcentral lists this ribosomal RNA (524 nucleotides) under uncultured eukaryote. RNAcentral's name for it is "bacterial SSU rRNA". It matches the Rfam family "Eukaryotic small subunit ribosomal RNA", at positions 36 to 575 of the family's 1831-position model. The record is from RNAcentral.
CUCAAAGAUUAAGCCAUGCACGUGUAAGAAUGACCUUAUUUAUGAGGUAAUCUGCGAACGGCUCCGUAAAACAGUUAUAGUUUGCUUGAUGAUUGUGGAGAAAUCCACUAAUUGGAUAAUCUCGGGAAUUCUGAGAAUAAUACAUGCAAGAAAAAGUUAGUGAAAGCUAACUGCAUCCACAACUUGGUGAUACAAGGUGGAGGUAAUAGCAUAGCAGUUGGAAAACGACUGCAAUAACAAGAAAGUUUCUGACCUAUCAACUUUGGAUGGCAAUGUAUUGUAUUGCCAUGGUUGUCACGGGUGACAGAGAAUUAGGGUUCGAUUCUGGAGAGGGAGCAUGAGAGAUGGCUACCAGUUCUAAGGAGGGCAGCAGGCGCGAAACUUACCCAAUGCUAAUACAGUGAGGUAGUGACAAGAAAUAACAAUACAAUUAGUGGUUAAAUCCACAUUUGUCAUUGGAAUGGUCCGGAUUUAGUAUGAACCGGAGAGCAGCAACGUGGAGGGCAAGUCUGGUGCCAGCAGCC